RNAcentral lists this long non-coding RNA (1029 nucleotides) under Equus asinus (donkey). RNAcentral describes it as "lncRNA (ENSEASG00005036664.1)". The record is from RNAcentral. Lineage: Eukaryota; Metazoa; Chordata; Mammalia; Perissodactyla; Equidae.
CUGGAGGCCCGAGGGCUUCUGGGAAAAUUCACUGGCACUGAGAGCAUGAAAUGCCAUCUUCCUGCCCUUUGGAGACUACCAUGGACUGUUAAAAACACCAGCGUCAUUAUGGGCGACCGUCUGGCCCGGGUUGCCUCCGUGUCUCAGUUUAGCACUAGAAGCCUGGCAUCCGGGACACCCUUCUGACCCAGGCCAACGGGGACGGUGGUCACUUGAGCUCCGCUUCAGCCUCUUUUAGUUCUAGAAGUGAAAUUAAUCAGAACGAGAAUUGAACUACCCGCAUCACCUUCCAGAAUGUUCUCAAUCAUCACAUACCGGAGGUGCUGUUUUCACCUCCAUUUUCACAUCAAGAAACUCAGGCACAGAGCUGCGAGGCAACUUGCCUAGUGCAGAACAGCCAGUGAGUGUGGGGCCAGGGUGUAAGCCCUGCUGCUCUGGAGCGGCGGGCGGCAGAGGCUCAGACUAAGGUGCCUACCCACCCUGCAAACACCUAUUUAUUAUACCAAAAAGGAUUUAAGCUCCUAAAGAAAGGUUAAGUCGUGUCCAUGGGGAAGAUUUCAAAGCAGCCAGGAUGUGAUCUGUGAUGAGUGGCUUCUCUCCAGCCCCACCCCAGUCUCCUGACUCUCCGUUGGAGGAACUGAUGCCAUCAGUGUGUCACGUGGCCAGCCUUCCUCCGCCGGCUUCGAGAGAACGAGGGCUUGAGGCGUGGUGCAUGGAAGGAAUUAGCUUCUCUCCUCUGCAUCCCGAGUGGUACCGGUUAUGAACCAUCCUUCGGUGAACUGAGCCUUUGUCCCUUGUGUCAUUUUCCGCAUUCUGUGCCAGAUCCUGACCCCCAGCUGGUCGGUUAAACCAGCCCUUCCAUACCUCUCUUUCCCCUUCCUCUAUCUCGGAGAGGGCGCAUUGUUAGCGUGCACACCUGCCUCUGGGUUCCGGCUGUGUGGUACCCCACGGUGGGUGCGUGUAACUCAUAAUGUGCCUCCUCUGACGGGCAUGCAGUUCGCUCGAGUCUUUUGCGUGUGUGCUUCCAUG